Molecule: ribosomal RNA, 500 nt
Filed under: uncultured bacterium
Lineage: Bacteria
Description: bacterial SSU rRNA
Rfam family: Bacterial small subunit ribosomal RNA
Source: RNAcentral
GACGAACGCUGGCGGCGCGCCUAACACAUGCAAGUCGAACGGAGCGCAGCGGAUGAAGCCCUCGGGUGGAAUUUGCUGUUGCUUAGUGGCGAACGGGUGAGUAACACGUGAGUAACCUACCUCCGAGCGGGGGACAACAUUUGGAAACAGAUGCUAAUACCGCAUAAGACCACAGCCGGACAUCCGGCAGGGGCCAAAGCAUUUAUGCACUUGGAGAUGGACUCGCGCCUGAUUAGCUAGUUGGUAAGGUAACGGCUUACCAAGGCAACGAUCAGUAGCCGGACUGAGAGGUUGAACGGCCACAUUGGGACUGAGACACGGCCCAGACUCCUACGGGAGGCAGCAGUGGGGAAUAUUGCACAAUGGGCGAAAGCCUGAUGCAGCGACGCCGCGUGGAGGAAGAAGGUUUUCGGAUUGUAAACUCCUGUCUUCGAGGACGAUAAUGACGGUACCCGAGGAGGAAGCCACGGCUAACUACGUGCCAGCCGCCGCAGUAAUAC